GACGAACGCUGGCGGCGUGCUUAACACAUGCAAGUCGAACGGAAAGGCCCUGCUUUUGUGGGGUGCUCGAGUGGCGAACGGGUGAGUAACACGUGAGUAACCUGCCCUUGACUUUGGGAUAACUUCAGGAAACUGGGGCUAAUACCGGAUAGGAGCUCCUGCUGCAUGGUGGGGGUUGGAAAGUUUCGGCGGUUGGUGAUGGACUCGCGGCUUAUCAGCUUGUUGGUGGGGUAGUGGCUUACCAAGGCUUUGACGGGUAGCCGGCCUGAGAGGGUGACCGGCCACAUUGGGACUGAGAUGCGGCCCAGACUCCUACGGGAGGCAGCAGUGGGGAAUAUUGCACAAUGGGCGGAAGCCUGAUGCAGCAACGCCGCGUGCGGGAUGACGGCCUUCGGGCUGUAAACCGCUUUCGCCUGUGACGAAGCGUGAGUGACGGUAAUGGGUAAAGAAGCACCGGCUAACUACGUG
Molecule: ribosomal RNA, 468 nt
Filed under: uncultured bacterium
Lineage: Bacteria
Description: partial 16S ribosomal RNA
Rfam family: Bacterial small subunit ribosomal RNA
Source: RNAcentral